Molecule: RNA transcript, 2622 nt
Organism: Cucumis melo (muskmelon)
Lineage: Eukaryota; Viridiplantae; Streptophyta; Magnoliopsida; Cucurbitales; Cucurbitaceae
Exons: 20
Source: RefSeq, a predicted model, not a curated record
AUAGACAUAUUCCUGAAAAGAAAAAACAGUCUUAGAUAUAAAAUGGAGAUGUGAUGUUUGUGCAUGCACUUAGCUGGGUUCAAUGAGUCCGUGUGCACUACUACGACUUUUUCGUUUUCCUUCUCCGUCGUCUUUGUUUAUUUCCAAUUUCAACCCCUUAAAUACAGCUUCCAUCAACACACCCUCUACCCGAAAGCAGUUCCGGAGCUACAAGAAGACCAUGGCUUCAUCAAUGUCUUCUUCACCAAACACCAGCAAUGACCAGCUCCCCAAAAUCACUGCCCCCUACGGCUCCUGGAACUCUCCAAUUACUGCCGACGUUGUUACUGGCGCCUCCAAGCGGCUUGGUGGUACUGCCGUCACCGCCAAUGGCCACCUUAUCUGGCUUGAAUCACGCCCCACUGAAUCCGGGAGGGGAGUGCUUGUUAAGGAAUCGAUAAAGGAAGGGGAUGAGCCUUGUGAUAUUACUCCGAAGGAGUUUUCAGUGCGGAACACGACGCAGGAAUACGGUGGUGGUGCGUUCGCGGUGGCUGGUGACACCGUUGUCUUUUCCAAUUACAACGAUCAAAGACUUUACAAGCAAUCUUUAAAUUCAGAUUCGUCUCCGCAAGCACUAACUCCCGAUUACGGUGGACGAUCAGUUAGUUAUGCAGAUGGGGUGUUUGAUUUUCGUUUCAAUCGUUUUAUUACCAUCCAAGAAGAUGGACGUCAAAGUAGCUUGAAUCCAAUCACCACAAUUGUGUCAGUGGAACUUGACGGCAAGGAUAUUAAUGAACCGAAGGUCUUAGUUGGAGGAAAUGAUUUCUAUGCCUUCCCACGAGUGGAUCCCAGAGGGGAACGGAUUGCAUGGAUUGAAUGGGGUCAUCCUAACAUGCCUUGGGAUAAAUCUGAGCUCUGGGUUGGCUACCUUUCUGAGAAUGGAGAGGUCUAUAAAAGAGUCUGUGUAGCUGGUGGUGAUCCGAAGCUUGUGGAAUCUCCUACUGAACCAAAGUGGUCAGCUCAGGGAGAACUAUACUUUAUUACCGAUAGACAAACUGGGUUUUGGAAUCUCUAUAAAUGGUUUGAGGCUAACAAUGUAGUGGCUCCAAUAUAUUCUUUAAGCGCCGAAUUUUCCCGACCCUUAUGGGUUUUUGGCACAAACUCUUAUGAUUUAUUAAAAACCGGCGAUGGAAGAAACAUCAUAGUCUGCAGCUACAGACGGCGGGGGCAAUCAUAUCUUGGAGUUUUGGAUGAGACGCAAAGCUCAAUAUCCUUGCUUGAUAUCCCAUUCACAGAUAUUGAGAAUAUUGCUCUGGGAAGUGAUUGUAUAUAUGUUGAAGGAUCUUCAGGACUUCAUCCAUCAUCUAUUGCCAAGGUUACCCUAAAUGAACGAUCCUUGGAAGUAGUAGGCUUCACUAUUAUCUGGUCAUCUUCACCAGAUAUUUUGAAAUUUAAGUCGUACUUCAGCCUUCCUGAGUUCAUUGAGUUUCCAACUGAAGUUCCCGGUCAAAAUGCUUAUGCUUACUUUUAUCCACCAUCCAACCCUAGAUAUCAGGCUAGUCCAGAUGAAAAGCCUCCACUGUUGUUGAAAAGCCAUGGAGGGCCGACUGCUGAAACACGUGGAAGUUUAAAUCCUAGUAUUCAGUACUGGACUAGUCGUGGAUGGGGUUAUGUUGAUGUCAAUUAUGGUGGCAGCACGGGUUAUGGGCGAGAGUACCGAGAAAGGCUUUUGAGGCGGUGGGGAAUUGUUGAUGUCAAUGACUGCUGCAGUUGUGCAAGAUUUUUGGUGGAAUCUGGAAAGGUUGAUGGAGAACAGUUAUGCAUCACUGGGGGAUCUGCUGGGGGAUAUACCACCUUAGCUGCUCUUGCUUUUAGAGAUACAUUUAAGGCAGGAGCUUCCUUGUAUGGGAUAGCUGACUUACGCUUGUUGAGAGCAGAUACACACAAGUUUGAAUCUCAUUAUAUUGACAAUCUCGUUGGGAAAGAAAAAGAUUACUUCGACAGGUCACCGAUCAAUUUUGUUGACAAAUUUUCUUGCCCUAUAAUCCUCUUCCAAGGAUUAGAAGACAAAGUCGUACUGCCUAAUCAAUCGCGUAAGAUAUAUAAUGCAUUGAAGGAAAAGGGCUUGCCUGUUGCACUAGUUGAGUAUGAAGGAGAACAACAUGGUUUCCGCAAGGCAGAAAAUAUUAAAUUUACCCUGGAACAACAAAUGAUGUUCUUUGCACGAACAGUAGGACGUUUCCAAGUUGCAGACGAUAUUAACCCGCUCAAAAUUGACAACUUCGACUAAGGACCUAACAUGCUGCAUUUGGGGUAAAUAUGGUUGGUCUAGAAUUUCUUCCUGUACCUGGUUGAGGGAGCCACUUCAAAAUUUCUGCAUGUGUAGACUAGUUGGGGGUCAUAUGAAUUCAUUUGGAUUGUGUUGGCCUGUUGGUUUUCUUGCUACAAGUCCAUUUAUAUACUCUGAUGUAGAAGUUUGGAGUCGCCUCAAACUUCGAUGAGAAUGUCUUUGAUGGGUUUGAUUGCUUUAUCUACAAUCUUUUGAAGGAUAAUUUUAUUGAAUAAAAACAUUUCAUUAUAUUUACAAUUUUUUUAAUUAUAUUCAUAAUACAUUGAUAAGUAAAGGUAUUAUUCUAUUUGUCC